Molecule: ribosomal RNA, 2922 nt
Filed under: Klebsiella pneumoniae
Lineage: Bacteria; Pseudomonadati; Pseudomonadota; Gammaproteobacteria; Enterobacterales; Enterobacteriaceae
Description: 23S ribosomal RNA
Rfam family: Bacterial large subunit ribosomal RNA
Source: RNAcentral
GGGUUGUGAGGUUAAGCGACUAAGCGUACACGGUGGAUGCCCUGGCAGUCAGAGGCGAUGAAGGACGUGCUAAUCUGCGAAAAGCGUCGGUAAGGUGAUAUGAACCGUUAUAACCGGCGAUGUCCGAAUGGGGAAACCCAGUGCAAUUCGUUGCACUAUCGUUAACUGAAUACAUAGGUUAACGAGGCGAACCGGGGGAACUGAAACAUCUAAGUACCCCGAGGAAAAGAAAUCAACCGAGAUUCCCCCAGUAGCGGCGAGCGAACGGGGAGCAGCCCAGAGUCUGAAUCAGCUUGUGUGUUAGUGGAACGGUCUGGAAAGUCCGACGGUACAGGGUGAUAGUCCCGUACACCAAAAUGCACAGGUUGUGAACUCGAAGAGUAGGGCGGGACACGUGGUAUCCUGUCUGAAUAUGGGGGACCAUCCUCCAAGGCUAAAUACUCCUGACUGACCGAUAGUGAACCAGUACCGUGAGGGAAAGGCGAAAAGAACCCCGGCGAGGGGAGUGAAAAAGAACCUGAAACCGUGUACGUACAAGCAGUGGGAGCACCUUCGGGUGUGACUGCGUACCUUUUGUAUAAUGGGUCAGCGACUUAUAUUCUGUAGCAAGGUUAACCGUAUAGGGGAGCCGCAGGGAAACCGAGUCUUAACUGGGCGUUAAGUUGCAGGGUAUAGACCCGAAACCCGGUGAUCUAGCCAUGGGCAGGUUGAAGGUUGGGUAACACUAACUGGAGGACCGAACCGACUAAUGUUGAAAAAUUAGCGGAUGACUUGUGGCUGGGGGUGAAAGGCCAAUCAAACCGGGAGAUAGCUGGUUCUCCCCGAAAGCUAUUUAGGUAGCGCCUCGUGAAUUCAUCUUCGGGGGUAGAGCACUGUUUCGGCUAGGGGGUCAUCCCGACUUACCAACCCGAUGCAAACUACGAAUACCGAAGAAUGUUAUCACGGGAGACACACGGCGGGUGCUAACGUCCGUCGUGAAGAGGGAAACAACCCAGACCGCCAGCUAAGGUCCCAAAGUCAUGGUUAAGUGGGAAACGAUGUGGGAAGGCACAGACAGCCAGGAUGUUGGCUUAGAAGCAGCCAUCAUUUAAAGAAAGCGUAAUAGCUCACUGGUCGAGUCGGCCUGCGCGGAAGAUGUAACGGGGCUAAACCAUGCACCGAAGCUGCGGCAGCGACACUAUGUGUUGUUGGGUAGGGGAGCGUUCUGUAAGCCUGCGAAGGUGACCUGUGAGGGUUGCUGGAGGUAUCAGAAGUGCGAAUGCUGACAUAAGUAACGAUAAAGCGGGUGAAAAGCCCGCUCGCCGGAAGACCAAGGGUUCCUGUCCAACGUUAAUCGGGGCAGGGUGAGUCGACCCCUAAGGCGAGGCCGAAAGGCGUAGUCGAUGGGAAACAGGUUAAUAUUCCUGUACUUGGUGUUACUGCGAAGGGGGGACGGAGAAGGCUAUGUUAGCCGGGCGACGGUUGUCCCGGUUUAAGCAUGUAGGCUGGUUAUCCAGGCAAAUCCGGAUAAUCAAGGCUGAGGUGUGAUGACGAGGCACUACGGUGCUGAAGUAACAAAUGCCCUGCUUCCAGGAAAAGCCUCUAAGCAUCAGGUAACAUCAAAUCGUACCCCAAACCGACACAGGUGGUCAGGUAGAGAAUACCAAGGCGCUUGAGAGAACUCGGGUGAAGGAACUAGGCAAAAUGGUGCCGUAACUUCGGGAGAAGGCACGCUGGUGUGUAGGUGAAGUCCCUGCGGAUGGAGCUGAGACCAGUCGAAGAUACCAGCUGGCUGCAACUGUUUAUUAAAAACACAGCACUGUGCAAACACGAAAGUGGACGUAUACGGUGUGACGCCUGCCCGGUGCCGGAAGGUUAAUUGAUGGGGUUAUCCGUAAGGAGAAGCUCUUGAUCGAAGCCCCGGUAAACGGCGGCCGUAACUAUAACGGUCCUAAGGUAGCGAAAUUCCUUGUCGGGUAAGUUCCGACCUGCACGAAUGGCGUAAUGAUGGCCAGGCUGUCUCCACCCGAGACUCAGUGAAAUUGAACUCGCUGUGAAGAUGCAGUGUACCCGCGGCAAGACGGAAAGACCCCGUGAACCUUUACUAUAGCUUGACACUGAACAUUGAGCCUUGAUGUGUAGGAUAGGUGGGAGGCUUUGAAGCGUGGACGCCAGUCUGCGUGGAGCCAACCUUGAAAUACCACCCUUUAAUGUUUGAUGUUCUAACGUUGGCCCCUUACCGGGGUUGCGGACAGUGUCUGGUGGGUAGUUUGACUGGGGCGGUCUCCUCCCAAAGCGUAACGGAGGAGCACGAAGGUUAGCUAAUCCUGGUCGGACAUCAGGAGGUUAGUGCAAUGGCAUAAGCUAGCUUGACUGCGAGCGUGACGGCGCGAGCAGGUGCGAAAGCAGGUCAUAGUGAUCCGGUGGUUCUGAAUGGAAGGGCCAUCGCUCAACGGAUAAAAGGUACUCCGGGGAUAACAGGCUGAUACCGCCCAAGAGUUCAUAUCGACGGCGGUGUUUGGCACCUCGAUGUCGGCUCAUCACAUCCUGGGGCUGAAGUAGGUCCCAAGGGUAUGGCUGUUCGCCAUUUAAAGUGGUACGCGAGCUGGGUUUAGAACGUCGUGAGACAGUUCGGUCCCUAUCUGCCGUGGGCGCUGGAGAAUUGAGGGGGGCUGCUCCUAGUACGAGAGGACCGGAGUGGACGCAUCACUGGUGUUCGGGUUGUCAUGCCAAUGGCACUGCCCGGUAGCUAAAUGCGGAAGAGAUAAGUGCUGAAAGCAUCUAAGCACGAAACUUGCCCCGAGAUGAGUUCUCCCUGAGACUUUAAGUCUCCUGAAGGAACGUUAAAGACGAUGACGUUGAUAGGCCGGGUGUGUAAGCGCAGCGAUGCGUUGAGCUAACCGGUACUAAUGAACCGUGAGGCUUAACCUUACAACGCCGAAG